RNAcentral lists this ribosomal RNA (253 nucleotides) under uncultured bacterium. Its description in RNAcentral is "partial 16S ribosomal RNA". It matches the Rfam family "Bacterial small subunit ribosomal RNA", at positions 524 to 776 of the family's 1533-position model. The record is from RNAcentral.
UACGUAGGGCGCAAGCGUUGUCCGGAAUUAUUGGGCGUAAAGAGCUCGUAGGCGGCUUGUCACGUCGGGUGUGAAAGCCCGGGGCUUAACCCCGGGUCUGCAUUCGAUACGGGCUAGCUAGAGUGUGGUAGGGGAGAUCGGAAUUCCUGGUGUAGCGGUGAAAUGCGCAGAUAUCAGGAGGAACACCGGUGGCGAAGGCGGCAUCCUGGACCGACACUGACACUGAGGAGCGAAAGCCAGGGGAGCAAACGGG